UCAAGAGCUGCCCAGGGGUGCAAUAACUUCCUAGUGGACUUUGCUAAGGCAGAUGAGUGCUCACGUGUCCACUGCCUGCAGGAGUCUGGAUAACCCAAGGGAAAGAGUCUGGAAAUGAAUGGCAGAAGGACACCUGGCUGCAUUAUCCAAGACCCUCUCCUCGAAGAGAAGCCCCAUCCCUAUCCCUGGGUGGCUCUCAGUUGAGACAAGUAACCAUGAUCCUAGGUUCUCAGAAGGGUGGCUUGGGGGGCCCAGUGAAAGAUGGACAAGGUGUUUAUUAAGCGUGCCUGGAGACCAGCCCCAGAAGAUUUCUCAUGAAUCUGAUGCUUGGCUAACAAGACUCUUCUACAAACCAUUCCUGGCUAUUCUCUAUCCCUGGACUUGCAGCUCUAGAAGAUGAAGAUCUAAAGUGGUGGAGUGACCACUUCUAAAGAGCUUUUGUCUAAAAUAAACCUUAUCUGUGGCA
Molecule: long non-coding RNA, 466 nt
Organism: Myotis brandtii (Brandt's bat)
Lineage: Eukaryota; Metazoa; Chordata; Mammalia; Chiroptera; Vespertilionidae
Exons: 2
Source: RefSeq, a predicted model, not a curated record